RNAcentral lists this transfer RNA (97 nucleotides) under Tautonia plasticadhaerens. RNAcentral's name for it is "Planctomycetes bacterium ElP tRNA-Ser". The record is from RNAcentral. Lineage: Bacteria; Pseudomonadati; Planctomycetota; Planctomycetia; Isosphaerales; Isosphaeraceae.
GGGCCCGGGCCUCCGACGGCGGAUGGCGCCGACGCUGCUGGCGGCGGCGCUGAUCGCGGCGUUCCACGCCCUGACGAUCGUCUCGGCGCGGUUCCAC